UGAAAGUGGCAGUAAGCCCUAUUUGCCCAUUCUUACAGUAUGUACUUAUGGCUCAGGUUGGCUGGACGUGAGCUGGAAACAUCACAUUAUUAUGUAUUGGCAGCAAUGGGAUGCAGUGGCUACAGGUGCAUUGGGCCAUGUCAGCCCUCAGGCCUGGGCAAGUAAAGCAUAAUGCUUAGUAUUAUGUUGGGAGAUGCACCAAAUGUAAAUAUUCUGUUCAGGGCUUCUAUGGGUUUUGUAUAAUCACAUAUCAACAACUCUGCAUAAAGCAUAAAAGAAUAUAAAGACGGGCUUCUCACUGAUUAUUUCACUGUGCAUGUAGUCAGAUCUCUCUCUUUUGUUUAAUAUACUGCAGGGCUUGUGGCGCUCCUGUGUUCCAACCAGAGCCCAGGAUACUUGCAUUAAUAGAGUGAUCUGAGUGAUCGGGCGCUGCUGUCUGUCCUCCAUAAAGGGGGAAUCCUGCCAAAGAAUCCAGUGGCAAAGAGGGCAAACGUGGUGCAGAUUCUUCAGAUCCUCCUUUCAAGGGCUUGUGGCGCUCCUGUGUUCCAACCAGAGCCCAGGAUACUUGCAUUAAUAGAGUGAUCUGAGUGAUCGGGCGCUGCUGUCUGUCCUCCAUAAAGGGGGAAUCCUGCCAAAGAAUCCAGUGGUAAAGAGGGCAAACGUGGUGCAGAUUCUUCAGAUCCUCCUUUCAAGAUAUUUCAAAGCAGUGGAACAACAACACAAUUUCUAUGCACUAUGGAUUCCAAUAUUCUACAAUCAGGGACAUCUUGAUCUGCAGUCAAAUGCUCUAACCCCAUAUUUAACGCUUUAGCAGAAGCCAGCUGACUGACAGACCCGUGGAGAAGCAGCAGUGUAUUAUUCCCCCACAACAGACACAGGAAAAACAAAGGAAGAAAAAAAGACUUGGAGAACCUCGUUCCAGAUGGCCUGGUCUUAGCCUAGAUGUUCCUGGACCAACUUUCAUCUUGCGAUGAUGCUCUUUUUGGACAGCCAAGGUUUCCUCCCGGCCCUCCUCCCAUGUAGGUGAGUGCAGCCUCUUUCUAAGGGUGUUGGUGCACUUCAGUAGCGGCAAGAGCUGCCUGUAGGCCCCGUGAUGGUUCUUCAUGGAGACACCUUUCUGCAUCUUGUCUUCUGCUCUUUGGCUGAACUUGCUGGGACGCCUGGGCAGGUUGGUAGGAAUUUGAAAUCUUCCUUGUAGGUGAUCUUCUGACAGUGGAAUGAUUGAUGUCCAGUUUCAUGAUGUUUUUCAAUCCCAUCCCAGACUCACAGGCAUCUAUAACCUUCACACUAAAGGCCUCAGAGAUCUCUUUCAGUCUAGGCAUGGUGGCACCACUGUGCAAACCAAACUACAAGCUUUCAGCACCUUUUUGCCACACUCUGGGCUACUUACCUGU
Molecule: long non-coding RNA, 1394 nt
Organism: Xenopus tropicalis (tropical clawed frog)
Lineage: Eukaryota; Metazoa; Chordata; Amphibia; Anura; Pipidae
Exons: 7
Source: RefSeq, a predicted model, not a curated record